Molecule: long non-coding RNA, 446 nt
Filed under: Pan troglodytes (chimpanzee)
Lineage: Eukaryota; Metazoa; Chordata; Mammalia; Primates; Hominidae
Description: long non-coding RNA NONPTRT013556
Source: RNAcentral
UAUACUUCUCCAUCUCUAAGUCAAAGCAGCAAAAUAUUCAAUAAGCAGCUCCAACAUGGCCCCAGGCUAAUGGCAGUAAUUAAAUCCAGAAUACAUAGGACUCCAUGGUGGCAUUCCAUAAGGAGAAUUCUAUAAACAUAUCACCUUUCCGGCCACACAUUUUUUUUCUUCCAGAAAUUAAUGUUUACCCUGUAGGAAAGUGCUGGGCAUUUUAAUUUUUUCCUGAAACUUUACAUUCUUAUCACCCUCCUAGCUUUCUUUUAGCAGGUAAUUAACUCAUAAGAAUCUUAAGAUUCAUAUAUUGGCCAGACCAAUGCCAUCACUGUCUAUUUGCUAUAGAGAAGGGGUCCACUGAGAGUCAGAGUAGUCCUGCAGCCUCAUGACUGUGACAAGUGGUACCCAGAGAGGUUUCCAAUGCCAGUGGCAGGCACGUGACCUUGGGCCCU